AGGUGGGCUGAGGUUGGGCUGGACGCUAGGGAGUGGACAAGACAAUACAGAGGCCCCUGUUUUUUAGGCCUUUGGAAGAGUAUUAGCUUAGUUGGGAUGAGUUCUAUGCUUGCAUUAGUAUGAGGAUCAAUUUAAGGUGUAGGGUGAAGUCUGGAUGAUAAAGAGAGCAGGCGGCUUUGCACUAGCGUCUUCGUGUUGCAUACUCCUUGGCUAGAUUUAUGCUGUGUUUGGAUCGUGAACUAUUAUAUAUGGUACGGUAAUUCAACGAGUUUUCUUGUUUAUAUCAUUUUUAAAUAGAUGAUAUGUUUAAUUUGGUAGUAUAUAAUGGUAGAUUAUUUUUUUAUUUUUUUCAAAAUUUUCAAACUAUUAAUAGUAAUUUUUAAUAGUUAAAUAUUAACUUUACCGUUUUAUCCUCACAUUUAUUUGUUAAUUCUCAUUUGGCCCUUAAAUCAUUUUCUUCUACCCAGAGUAUUUUUCUUUCUUCACCGCAGCUCGCUUCUUCUCUUCUCAUCUGCUUGUGCUUCUUUCGCUUCCGUAUUCUGCUUCUGCUUGUUGGGAGAGUCUCCACGGAUGUUAACUUGCUUCACCAAACACAGCAUCAAUCAAGGUAUGUGUUUAAUAAUGUAUGAUUGUUGACUUUGCUUUUGUGGUGACUUGGAAAAAAAGAAGAUCAAUUACAGGCAAUAUAUAUGUUUAGUUUACUCAUUUAAGUGGAAUUCAGAGCUUCAUUCCAUGACAAACCAUCUAUGAAUCGGAUGGUUAUACCUCUCUGCUUUCUUUACAAGGGCUAGGGUUCGGGUCACGUGGCUCCAGUUUAGGUUUCUUUGGUAAUGUGCCGAGCUGUGUGCUCCUUCUGAUGGUGUUGAAGGAAAAAAAUCUUUUGUGGGAUGACAACUCUUAACUGGAAUGUGAAUACAUACGUCAUUACAAAUUUUAACCUGUAUGGGCACAAGGACAACACAUGGGAUCUUCACAAAUUCUUCAUCCGAUAUUCAAACAUUCUCCUACUUUAGGAUUUGUAUGGAGUUUCCCUUCUUGUUGCUAAUGCAUUUCUCUGGAGUUCUCCAGAUAUUUACGAUCAAUGUCGUUGUGCUCUGCCAUAUUUCUCUUCAGUUGUCUGUUAUUGAUGUGAAAAUAGCUGUAAGGAUGCAUAUAUAGUUUGCAAAAAAGAUCCAGAUGUUGUCUGAUGGAUCAAUGAUGGUUGUUGGGUUUCUUUUGAACUUACUCUGCCCCAAAUCUAGUCAUUUUCAAGUUUCUGUUCCAGAUUAUUUUUUUCUUCUUACCAAGUAACUGUCAGUAAAUGUUCUUUUAUUCCUUCUAAGGUUGCAUUUGGUUGCUUUUGGGUUACUUUCCAAAAAGAAUUGACUAAGAAAUGAAUAGGAAAUAAACCAAACACAACGUAAUAUUACUUGGAGAACAACUUUACAAAUCUAUAUAUAUAGUUGCCUUACAUAGUUAGCUACAACAGACAUAGAACAGAUGGG
Molecule: long non-coding RNA, 1484 nt
Filed under: Carica papaya (papaya)
Lineage: Eukaryota; Viridiplantae; Streptophyta; Magnoliopsida; Brassicales; Caricaceae
Description: long non-coding RNA (CPAP_LNC007950)
Source: RNAcentral